UUACCCUAGCUGUUCCUCUCCUCUCUCUCUCUCUGAUUUUCUCUCUAUUUUUCUCCUUUCUUCUUCCUUGUGUCGUCCCUAGCUGGGUGAUUUUCACCAUUGUUGUACUGCCUUAUUGCUCUAUUACCUGGUUACAAUUCCUCCAUCCUUAUUGCUGGCAUUUUUAAUCACCAAAUAGCCUCUUUUCUUCCCUAAAACCCUCCUUUGAGCCACUUAAAUCAGCCUCUCCUUGCUGCCAUUAGACCUCCAUUUUCUCCCCAUUUUCUCCACUCGUGGUGUACUGGUUGUUUCCUUUUGCUUCUCGAUUCUUGUUCUGUUGCUUGUCAAUUUUUGUUGCUGUUUUUAGAACCAUUUUAUUACUGUUUCCAGCCUCUAAAAUUCAUCCCCUUUGGAUCCAAAAACUAUUUUUGUGCCGCCCCAAAUCAACCACAUUCUUACUGCCGCUUGUGGUGGUGUGCGACCCAUCAGUGUACCACUUAUAGGCUACAAUUUUUCUCUUCUUUUUCCUCCCAUUGCAAUAGUGUUCUACUCAUUUUUCCUUUAUUUAAAACAACCCUUAAAAUUCUUAAUUAAGUCUGUAUAUGAUCCUAUUCAUCUGACAUCUCAGAUCUAGUUAUCGGGUGUAAGCGCAGUUCUAUGCGAGAUCUUGCGUUGUUUUUAUUUCACUUAUAGUUGUUGCCAUGGUCGAAUGCUCUGAGGCCAUAACGUGAUUUUCAGUUACUAAUAUUUAAGUAUUCUUUCAAUCUUAGGUACUUAUUUGAACGUGUCGAAUCAGCAGUAAAGUCGGAUUUCAUUCGUGCCCUUGUUUCGCAUCAAAUCAAUGUAAGUUACCGUGACAAUUUGGAUCUGAAAAUUUGUUGGUGUAACACUGAUUUGGCCAAGCCCUUAGGGGCUAUUUCAAGGCUAUUUUUAAUAGUAUUUUAACUCAUUAAAUGCUAUAAAUUGGUUUUAGACAUGUUUAAGGUUUUAAUGUGGUAGUGCAGACUUUGCGGAUUAGUGCUAGGGACUUGUGAAUUGAGGUGUGGGUCUUUUCCUUUGUUUAAUUAGUCUAAAAUUCGCAUAAAAUAUGUUUAAAUGAAAAAUUUUCUUGCUGGUUAUUGAAUGGCUGAAUGGCCUAAUUGCUAAUAAAAGAGGUGUCGAGCUAGGCACGUACACUAAUUGAAAGCUGAUUGUUAAAGGCCCUGUUGGGACCGAUUGUGAUGUGUAUGAGCUCAGUGUGAUUUAUGCCUUUGUGCUGUAAUUUGUUAAUAGUAUAUUUGGUAUAUCAAAUCUUUGUUUGCUAAGUUCUAUUGAAAAUAUGUGAAUUGUAUGCAUGUAUAGCAUGCUGAAUUUUGAGACACUAAUUGAUGUGCAUGUCAAAUGCCAUGUAUGAUAUUGAGCUUGUAUGUAUUUAUAAUUAUAUACCUUAUGUGAAAAAGGACUGCAUGGAAAGGAUGUAUGCAUGCUACUGUUUCUAUAAAUGAAAAGUAUGCAAGGCAUAUACCGACACUGACUAUUGAUACGCAUGUUAAGCAUGCCAUUGUACUGAGAUUGAAAAUGAUAGCAUGGUUUGCUCACUAAUUGUAUGCCAUUUUGCAAUAUGCAUGGGGUGGGUUAUUGUGGUUUGCGAAGGAGUUUCGUGGAGUAUCGGUAGUAGUUAAGGUUCGCAUUAUUAUUGUUAGUGCACAACAUCGGAAGUACCAAGGAGAUUGACGAUUUUAUUGCAUUAUUGGUAGCUUGUCCUCACUAUUGGCCAUUUAUCUGCAUUACCGAUACUGGUGGCUUGUCCACAGUACUGGUUGCUUGUCUGCAUAUAUAUUGCACUUUAUUUGCACUAAUGUACUGAUGGUUUAUCCACAUCGAGCUUCGGCUCACACUAUUUGGUCUUUGGUAGAUGGGUUCUGGGGAACUUGUGGUAUGUAACGAAUGGUAGGGUAGGAACAUUUGCAUUGCAUCAUUUGCAUCAUACCAUGCUCAUACAUCAUUCGUUAAUUGCUAUGAACUUUUAUUGAUGGCACUUAUUAAUGAACUGCUAAGUUUGAAAUGGUUACUGUAUUGAUGAUUCUAUAAUUUACUGUAAUUGAACCAGUAUCUGUGUAAAUAACUUGUUUGACUCACAUUGACCUUCAUAAGCUCACUCCCCGACAGUGUUUAACUUUUCAGGUAAACCUUGAAACUAGGACCGACCUCGGCAUACAGAGCGUCGCCUCAGACAACAGACUAUUUUUUUAAAUAAGUAUUAUUAAUAUGUCUCUAUUGGUUUUGGUUUAUAAUUUUUAAUGUCUUUGGUUUGUGUCUUGAUUAUUUUUUAUUUGGGGAGUUUUGCAUGCAUGGAUUACUUAAGCAUAAUAAUAGGGAAAUGCAUUAUAUCUGGCUUAAAUAAAAUUUGACAUUAUUCUCCAAUUUUAGCUGCAUUGUAAAUAAAUCAUUUUUGAAAAAAAAAUCGUUAAGGCAACUAGAUUCCUAAAAGGACAUGAAUAAUGGUUUUCUUGUUGCAUUAGUUAACAUCGAGUUUUUACAAAGUAGAGCGACAAACAAAUAAUAUUUCUAAAACAUCAUUUUCAACACUAAAAUGAAUCUUAAGUACAGAUGACCUAAUAAAUGAAUGGUUUUUAAACUAACUCAAAGUACAACCAUAAUUUUUUUAUCUAAAAUGA
Molecule: long non-coding RNA, 2636 nt
Filed under: Gossypium barbadense (sea-island cotton)
Lineage: Eukaryota; Viridiplantae; Streptophyta; Magnoliopsida; Malvales; Malvaceae
Description: long non-coding RNA (GBAR_LNC013790)
Source: RNAcentral